RNAcentral lists this transfer RNA (90 nucleotides) under Clostridiales bacterium. RNAcentral describes it as "tRNA-Ser". It matches the Rfam family "tRNA". Rfam says of the family: Transfer RNA (tRNA) molecules are approximately 80 nucleotides in length. Their secondary structure includes four short double-helical elements and three loops (D, anti-codon, and T loops). Further hydrogen bonds mediate the characteristic L-shaped molecular structure. tRNAs have two regions of fundamental functional importance: the anti-codon, which is responsible for specific mRNA codon recognition, and the 3' end, to which the tRNAs corresponding amino acid is attached (by aminoacyl-tRNA synthetases). tRNAs cope with the degeneracy of the genetic code in two manners: having more than one tRNA (with a specific anti-codon) for a particular amino acid; and 'wobble' base-pairing, i.e. permitting non-standard base-pairing at the 3rd anti-codon position. Lineage: Bacteria; Bacillati; Bacillota; Clostridia; Eubacteriales. The record is from RNAcentral.
GGAGAGAUACCGAAGCGGUCAUAACGGGGCGGUCUUGAAAACCGUUUGGGUGAACAGCCCACGUGGGUUCGAAUCCCACUCUCUCCGCCA